RNAcentral lists this long non-coding RNA (2017 nucleotides) under Homo sapiens (human). RNAcentral's name for it is "HSALNT0120207". The record is from RNAcentral. Lineage: Eukaryota; Metazoa; Chordata; Mammalia; Primates; Hominidae.
AUGAUUUUGGAAAUUAUAACCAGCAACCUUCUAACUACGGUCCAAUGAAGAGUGGAAACUUUGGUGGUAGCAGGAACAUGGGGGGACCAUAUGGUGGAGGAAACUAUGGUCCAGGAGGCAGUGGAGGAAGUGGGGGUUAUGGUGGGAGGAGCCGAUACUGAGCUUCUUCCUAUUUGCCAUGGGUAAGUAGCUUUUGAGUUUUACAAUUAUUAUUAUCUUGGGAGACAUAGCUGCAGGAGUAAAAGCUUUUUAGGAUCAUGUUAUCUUUCCUUAAAAUCUGGUUAGAUGGAUAAUUUCAUAACCUAUUUUUUUUUUACUCUUUACUUCUGUUGAAACAGGCUUCACUGUAUAAAUAGGAGAGGAUGAGAGCCCAGAGGUAACAGAACAGCUUCAGGUUAUCGAAAUAACAAUGUUAAGGAAACUCUUAUCUCAGUCAUGCAUAAAUAUGCAGUGAUAUGGCAGAAGACACCAGAGCAGAUGCAGAGAGCCAUUUUGUGAAUGGAUUGGAUUAUUUAAUAACAUUACCUUACUGUGGAGGAAGGAUUGUAAAAAAAAAUGCCUUUGAGACAGUUUCUUAGCUUUUUAAUUGUUGUUUCUUUCUAGUGGUCUUUGUAAGAGUGUAGAAGCAUUCCUUCUUUGAUAAUGUUAAAUUUGUAAGUUUCAGGUGACAUGUGAAACCUUUUUUAAGAUUUUUCUCAAAGUUUUGAAAAGCUAUUAGCCAGGAUCAUGGUGUAAUAAGACAUAACGUUUUUCCUUUAAAAAAAUUUAAGUGCGUGUGUAGAGUUAAGAAGCUGUUGUACAUUUAUGAUUUAAUAAAAUAAUUCUAAAGGAAAUUGUGUAAUUAUAGACUUUUUAUUUUAAAUAAGUUAAGGAGUGGGUAGUAUAAUUAAGGUCCGUUGCAAAGCUGUUGUUAUAUUUGUAUAAGAUAAAUGCUGGUCAGAUGUAAGUGUGUUGUCUGCAAUUCAUCAGGAUUAAAUUAUGUAGAUAACUUAAGGGAUAUCUCUGCAAGGAGAAACACCUUUUUAGAUCUUUUAGAUGCUGCUUCUUCAAUGCAAGGAAAGGAAAUAACCCCAGCGAGGUACUCUUCAGGGACACAGGUCUAGUACAAGAGAACUCUUGACGGCUACUAAGUUCAGCCAGUCUUAAAAAACUGUGCUGUUUCUACAAAACUUUAACUACAGUAGUUUAUAAGGAUGCCAACGAAAGCUGAGGGUGUAGAGCAAAAUAGUUCUAAGCUUCAGUUAAACUUCUUUAGGUAAGAUCUUAUUUACUUUUCCUUUCUUAAUUUUCCUCCCUAAAAGAUAAACUAAUACUCUUAAAUGGUCUUUCAGUAUAGUGGUUCUUACGUAGUUUAACAUAGCUAUAAAUUGAGUUUAACAAUUUAUAAACUCAAGAGAAUAAUUUUUAUAAACCCUGUUUUCCAAUCUGUCAUUUACUUAAAUUAUUUUGGUUGUUUUUCCCUUUUUUUCCUUCUUUUCCCACCCCCUCCCCCUCCAUGUGAAGAUUUGGGUGCUUAACAUAUCAUUUUUUUCCCUGCCGGAAUUUUAGCAUUGAUAUGAACCAUGGACAAGUAUAUUCUGCUGCCACAAAGACUGUAAAGUGCUUCAUUUCAACAGCUGAGGCAAGCCAAGUGAUCAUUAAUAAAGCUUUUCUUGGUUCCUUCAGUGGUGUUGGUAGUAAAAUGGAAGGUGUCUUGCUGCAGGUAACUAAUGAAGAAGUGGUCAACCACAGAGUCUUCAAGAAAUAAGAAAUUCUGUACCAUCUGAAAGUAGUUCUUGUUGGUGCCUUCAUUUAAAAAGCACUCUUUAAAAUAAAAGGGAAAUGUUUUCUGAUAAAACAAACAUUUAGUUGAGGUUCUUGAUAUAAAACAAUUACAAAAUGAGUGUUGUUUGUAAAACAGUAACAUCAAAUUGGCUAGAGAGAUAAAUGUAUCAUGUUUUAAAUUAGGUUUUGUGAGUAGACAGAUUACAAUUCUAUUUUAAAUAUAAAGUUUAUAAAAUAAAUACUUUUUGUAUCC